UUGAGGAGAGCGCAGCCCGGGUGGGAGGCGGGCGGCGCCGCCGCUGUGGAGACGCCGAAGAGCGGAGCCACCGAGCAGUCUUGUCUCAGCUUGCCCAAGACCUCAAGCUGACCAUAGAUUCUCUCCUACUAAUCUGCACAACAGAGAAGCCCUGCUCCUGUGAACCUAAGGAGCUGGCCAGUUGGGAAGGUGCCUGCCGUGAAGAACUUAUGCUGGAAGGGGAAGCCUUUUAUUGCAUUAGAAACAAGCCCUGCCCGAUACUGAAAAACUGAUCUUGUUUGGCUUUUGAGGGAAUCCAGUCAGGCCCUGUCGAUCAGAUGAAUUUGCAUUAGUUGGGUUUGCUGUAAACUACCUACAAUAGCUAUAAUGACACCAGCCCUCAGAGAGGCAGCAACAAAAGGUCAUGGUAUCUACUUGUCACCUUCUUUGUCCUCUAGAGCUAUGGAGUCUGAUACAACUUUGUGCAUGGAAAAUUCCAGAGCAGUCGAAGAGACGAUAAAGGAGGAUUCCAUCACACAGAUUACUUGCUCAGUCCUGGGGUUUCCCACUACUGAGCCCAACCUCAGUAAUGAUAUCUUCAAUGUAAAACACUUUGGUUCUCCUCAGUCUUCCAGACAUUAUCAAUCUGUCUUAUUAAUGAGCACAAAUUCUCCAUUAAACAUAAAAAACAAAAACAGUAAGCAAAGGAAUUCAGAAGAGCACAGCUGCUCCCAGAUGAGAAAUCUACUACACAAUAGUGCUACCACACAGGUCAGUCAGAUUAAUAAUUCUGAACCUGAAGAGCAGGUCAGAGGGGAAACUUUAUCGGAGACCAUGACCCAGAGUUUGGCAGAAAUGCAGAGACUGUUGGAUUCAAAUGUAACUGAAUCCAAUAAUGUGGAAGAAAUGCAGCUUCCAAACUGUAAAUGGUAUCGGAAGAAUGGCUUUUCGGAUAAGGGUCUACUAGUACAUGCUGAAACCAAAAAAGGGAAUUCAUUGCAUCAAGUUGUGCGUGAGCCUUUGAAAGCAAUUGUGAGCUGCACCCCCACUAGUAAAGAAGAGGAAUUCAAUGCUCAUUUACUUCAGUGUGUCAGUAAGCAACAAGUUGUGCUCAGUCGAGCCAAAAGAGCUCAGAAACGUUUACAGAUACUCCUGGCAAAGCAUGUUGUCAAACACUGUGAUCGUCAGCUGAAAUGUUUUGUGAAACAUCAGCUCCAAAGAAUGAAAGUUUUUCAUGAUUCAACCAGAUUUUUGGAUAGUAGCUCCCUUGGAUGCACAGAAAUUAGGGCAGAAAGCAGUAUAACUAACUUGGAAAAUAAUUCAAAUAAAGACACACACAAUGGAUUCGGCAUUGAACCUGGUGAAAUCUGGGGUUUUGCACACUCUGCUACAGGGCUGCUGACUCAUGUGGAGAAAGAUCUGGACUCUGAUGCCACUUGCAGUAGCUCAGAUGACGAUUGUGAUGAACAGACUGUCAGAAAAACUGUGGAAGCCAACUAUAGUUCUGAAUGGAAGUGGCUUGUAGACCGAGCUAAAGUUGGCUGCCGUUGGACAUGGCUUCAAGCCCAGAUUUCGGAGUUAGAAUACAAAAUCCAACAACUAACUGACCUUCACAGGCAGAUACGUGCCACCAAGGGGAUGGUGAUCUUACAAGAAUUCCCACUUCCAAAAGACAUUUUGAAGAAGCAAACACAAUUGACAAACCCAGAAGCUUUAUUAAACACCACGGGGAAUUCUCAAGCUACUCUUGAGAGACAGGAUUCUUUGCCGGAACACGAUUUUGAAAUGUCACCAAGCAGCCCUACUUUACUUCUACGAAACAUAGAAAAACAGAGUGCUCAGCUGAGUGAAAUCAUCAAUAAUCUGAUUGCUCCACUCAAUCUGUCCCCCACGUCCUCUCCUCUCUCUUCCAAGUCCUGUAAGCAGAAACAACUGGUCAAUGGCAUAUCUCUCAGAGCUUCAGACAACAGAGAGGAAAUGUCAUCUUCUAGUAGCCAGUUGCUUGAUCAUCAACACAUUAAAAAAAGAAGAAAAGACAGGACAAGGCUGAGAUCUCCGUCUGUAACUAUCAUGAGCACAUCUGCCCGAACAAGGCCACUUCAGAGUUUCCAGAAGAGGAAACUAUACAGAAUGAGCAGUGCAUGUUGUUGGAAUCAACAGGCUUUGCUGUCUAAAGAUGCCUCGUUUCCAUAUAAUACACAGAUGCCUUGCAUGGCUCCAGCCUCCAUUUGGAGCAGUUCUGAGCAUGGUGCAACAUCCAGAAUAGUACAACAACAUAUAUCGGAGGUGGACUCCUCUCUUCAUCCUGUGUUAUCAUUCCCCUCAGAUAUUCCUCUUCAUAUAUAUUUUGAAACAUUGUUGAAGGAGGACAAGAUCAAAGGAGAUCCUGCUGACACCUCAGCACUAGGGGUAGAGUUUAAAAUGUCUCCAUCCAGUGAAUUUCAUCAACAUAGUGCUUCUCUCAAACAAUGGAGCAGUGGCUAUUUACUUAAUUCCAAACCUCAAGCAGCAUCAGGAACAUCUGAACAGUUGUCCGAGGGAAGAAAGAAAAGGCACCUAAGUGAGACAGCGAUAGGAGAAAGUAAUAGUAGGUUUGAAGCUUUUUCCUUUCGACAUGCAGAACCAGAAUCCCAUAACGAUUUUACUGCCGUGACCCAUGUCAAUCUGAUGUCUAGAUCUACCCAAAACACAUCAUCACAGCAUAACUCUAGACGGAGACUGAGAAGUGAGAGCUCCUAUGAUAUAGACAACAUUGUUAUUCCUAUGUCACUGGUUGCUCCCUCUAAAUUGGAGAAGCUGCAAUACAAAGAAAUCCUUACUCCAAGCUGGAGAGUUGUUGAACUUCAUCCUCUGGGGCGAUCUCAUAUAGAUGAAGAAGAGAUCGAAGAUCUGUCAGAUGAACUUUUUUCUUCACGUCAUGCAAAAUAUGAAGAGAGAGAGAAAGCAAGGUGGUCAUUGUGGGAACAGAGCCGAUGGCCCAGAAGAAAUAGCAGAUCUUAUAGCAAAAAUUCUGAAAGACAGCAGGGACAAGAUCCAGUACUGAAAGAAAACCAUCGCAACUCAUGUGCCUCACUGCAUUGUGCUGCUGAAGCUGCUUCUGAUCUUACUUCAGAAAUCCACAGUUCUGUAUGUUUAAGGGUCCCACAGUCUUCAAAGGAAAACCAAGAAGCAAAGUCUGAGCUGUGGGAACUUCGGGUUUUUCCGUUAAAGGAUGAAGACAUAGAAACCUUACGGUGCCAAGACCAAAUAACAAAUCAGACUGAAAGUUCAAGUGCAGCUUUCCACAGUGACUCCCUCUGCACUUCAUGCACUCCCAUCACGUUGCCAAACAAUGGCCAUCCACCAAGAAAACAAUCCACAGAAGAGCUGGAAGACUGCAAAAGUGUUUUCCUGGGACUCUGCAGCACAAGAAAACACAGGUGAUAGGGAAUAAUGUGGUUCAUUAAGAAAGCUGAUUAAGGUGGAGAAAAGUACAAGGCAGGAUAAAAUCCCAAACGCAACACUUUCUUCUUCCUGAACCACAAGAGAAACUAAUUAUUUCGAGCUGGAAGGCUAGUAUUCCCCAUGUUGAAAGUGGGCACACCUAAAUAGCUGGCACGGUUUACUGCUUUCUGUUGUCAUAUUGCCACAUUCUUUGAUAUUCUUCCUUUUUUUCUUUCAAAUGUGUUUAUGGUUCUGAUGGAUUCUGGGACAGCAGAACACACUUUAUUCCUUUAAACAAACAACUUCAAAACACAGAAAAACUACUUGAAAAGACAGUGAGGAAGAGGGGGUAAUUUUAAAUAAAGUUGUUUUCUUUUGUGGCAUGAGCAUGUGACAAAUACCUGCCUUGUUUAAAAUGCAUGUCUGAAAUCCCCUGAAUAUUUAAGUACCAGUAGUUUUUAAAUGACACUUUCAGAAGCCUUAUAUAUGGCUUAAAAUUAGUCACUCAUUCAACUCUAUUGUUAGUUUCAUGCAGAAAUCCUCAAACACUAACACACAAAUAUAUCACUAUAUUUCCAUAGUUGAUUUCUCUACUAUACAAAAGGUAGACAGUUUCCUAUUUCAGUCACAUGGGGAGCAGAGAAGCCUUGGAGUGGUGAGGAAGCGAAAAGUGAAUUAAAUGAAGAUACAACUCUGAAUUUCAUUUUGGAUCACCAGAUAUUUGGAGACCUAACUCCUAGACCUGCAGUAGCUAAUGCUGCUUAUAAUUGUGUGCUGUAGUAUCUUACCAACAAGUAUAGUUUGUUAUGGUUUCUAAGCGAUAUCUUGCAAGGUUCUACCAAGUAUGCAAAAGCAGAGUGACUAACCAGAAAGGAAAACGUUGUUAAUAAGGACAUCAGAAGGGCUUAAAAAAACCUUUCACAAUGUUUCUAAACACAGAUUGAUUUUUAAAUUUCCAGUCAUUUCACUCUCUAAGAAAAUAAAAGCAAAUUGUUUAAAUUCAUACAUUCUGAAUUACAGUAUUCAGAAUUUAUCUGCAUCCUCAAAUGAUGCUAAUAGAAGAUGACGCAUACAAGAAUUGAUUAUAUAGCAGUAUUCUUGUAGCAGAACAAUAAUUUGACACCAGUAGAACGUAUGUAUAAACCGCUGUCAGCAGGAAGUUUUUCUGUGUACAACAGUUGAAGGCAACUAUAUAGGAGUCUCUGUUCUUGUACAACAUUUUUCCUCAGCUUGUAAUAUCCAAUACUGACAGAUGACCCGUUUGUUAGUGUCAAACUUAAAUUUUUUUUUCCUGUCAGAUUAACUGGAAAUAUACGCUAGACCUCAGAAAAAAGUUCAGUCAAGUUUCAGCACUACAGCCUAUGCUACAUUGUAGUUUAUUGCACAUUCUGAUUUAUUUUAAAUCUUUUUUUAACACUGGUUUGUCCAGCAAAUUAAACUCAAAUUUUGCCUCAGUGUCUGAUACAAUAAUCUUCAAUGCUAGGUUUUUUUAAUUAAAAGUUAUUUCCAUA
Molecule: RNA transcript, 4913 nt
Organism: Chelonia mydas (Green sea turtle)
Lineage: Eukaryota; Metazoa; Chordata; Testudines; Cheloniidae
Gene: KANSL1L
Gene name: KAT8 regulatory NSL complex subunit 1 like
Exons: 17
Source: RefSeq, a predicted model, not a curated record